CGGCAACAGCUCAAAUUUGAAAUCUGGCCUCUUUGGGGUCCGAGUUGUAAUUUGUAGAGGAUGUUUCGGGUACCGCCUCGGUUUAAAUUUCUUGGAACAGAAUGUCAAAGAGGGUGAGAGCCCCGUACGGUUGGAUGCCUAGCCUCUGUGAAACUCCUUCGAC
Molecule: ribosomal RNA, 163 nt
Filed under: Herpotrichiellaceae sp.
Lineage: Eukaryota; Fungi; Ascomycota; Eurotiomycetes; Chaetothyriales; Herpotrichiellaceae
Description: partial large subunit ribosomal RNA
Rfam family: Eukaryotic large subunit ribosomal RNA
Source: RNAcentral